Molecule: ribosomal RNA, 430 nt
Filed under: uncultured bacterium
Lineage: Bacteria
Description: bacterial SSU rRNA
Rfam family: Bacterial small subunit ribosomal RNA
Source: RNAcentral
ACGCUGGCGGCAGGCCUCAAACAUGCAAGUCUAGGGGGUGUAGCAAUACAUCACCGGCGGACGGGUGCGUAACGCGUGGGAAUAUACCUAUCGAUUCGGAACAACUGAGGGAAACUUCAGCUAAUACCGAAUACGUCCUAACGGAGAAAGAUUUAUCGUCGAUAGAUUAGCCCGCGUUCGAUUAGCUAGUUGGUGGGGUAACGGCCCACCAAGGCGACGAUCGAUAGCUGUUCUGAGAGGAAGAUCAGCCACACUGGGACUGAGACACGGCCCAGACUCCUACGGGAGGCAGCAGCUGGGAAUCUUGGACAAUGGGGGAAACCCUGAUCCAGCCAUGCCGCGUGAGUGAUGAAGGCCUUCGGGUUGUAAAACUCUUUCGCGCACGACGAUAAUGACGGUAGUGCGAGAAGAAGCUCCGGCUAACUUCGUG